UGUGCAAAAUUCAAGGAAACGACUUCGGCUGUGAAAAUUUUCUAUACUUCCUCCAAUCGAAACUCGAACUUGGAAGUAGGGAAACUGGUGUUGGGUGUAAAACCCCCCCAGUCAAAGUUCGUGUCAGGAGUGACCCCUCGGGGAUUCUACAGGAAAACUUCGUCCGGACUCCUACGGGAGUCAGACUCCAUCUCCAACUUCGACUGC
This 207-nucleotide long non-coding RNA is filed under the name Elaeis guineensis (African oil palm). Its description in RNAcentral is "long non-coding RNA (EGUI_LNC039045)". The record is from RNAcentral. Lineage: Eukaryota; Viridiplantae; Streptophyta; Magnoliopsida; Arecales; Arecaceae.